RNAcentral lists this ribosomal RNA (829 nucleotides) under uncultured bacterium. RNAcentral describes it as "bacterial SSU rRNA". It matches the Rfam family "Bacterial small subunit ribosomal RNA", at positions 97 to 929 of the family's 1533-position model. The record is from RNAcentral.
GGCGAACGGGUGAGGAACACGUGAGGAAUCUGCCUUCAACACUGGGAUAACUCCGGGAAACCGGGGCUAAUACCGGAUACGAGCCUUGAUCGCAUGAUCGGGGCUGGAAAGUUUUUCGGUUGAAGAUGACCUCGCGGCCUAUCAGCUUGUUGGUGAGGUAAUGGCUCACCAAGGCGACGACGGGUAGCCGGCCUGAGAGGGCGACCGGCCACACUGGGACUGAGACACGGACCAGACUCCUACGGGAGGCAGCAGUGAGGAAUAUUGGGCAAUGGAGGCAACUCUGACCCAGCCAUGCCGCGUGCAGGAAGACGGUCCUCUGGAUUGUAAACUGCUUUUAUUAGGGAAUAAACCCUCCUACGUGUAGGAGGCUGAAGGUACCUGAUGAAUAAGCAUCGGCUAACUCCGUGCCAGCAGCCGCGGUAAUACGGAGGAUGCAAGCGUUAUCCGGAUUUAUUGGGUUUAAAGGGUCCGUAGGCGGAUAUUUAAGUCAGUGGUGAAAGCCCACAGCUCAACUGUGGAACUGCCAUUGAUACUGGAUGUCUUGAGUAUAGUAGAAGUAGGCGGAAUAGGGCAUGUAGCGGUGAAAUGCAUAGAUAUGCCCUAGAACACCGAUUGCGAAGGCAGCUUACUAUGUUAUAACUGACGCUGAGGGACGAAAGCGUGGGGAGCAAACAGGAUUAGAUACCCUGGUAGUCCACGCCGUAAACGAUGAUUACUCGCUGCUGGCGAUAUACAGUCAGUGGCCAAGCGAAAGCAUUAAGUAAUCCACCUGGGGAGUACGCCGGCAACGGUGAAACUCAAAGGAAUUGACGGGGGCCCGCACAAG